UCUCAUGGAAAACAUGAUAUAUUUAUAAACUUAGGUCCUGCUUAGAGGAGUGAAUCAUUUGCUACUUGCUGAGUAAAAGGUCCUCUUAUAAUAGCAAGGCUAAUCUGACAGUGUUUAUUUUCCCCAGGGAAUAAAGCCUUUGCAAGAAUCCUGAGUUGAAGGGAUGCAGGGGAACAUUGCUGAAAUGCAGAGAUUUCACACAAGAAGCUUCCUGAACUACCAAGGGCUAGGAUUUCUAAGAAUUGAUCUGGCCUUUCCACUGCAUCUGAGCAACAUGCCUAUAGAACUUUAUCAAUGGACUUUUGACCCUUUGGUAUCUUCUGAAAUGCAGCAGCAUAUAUGGAUGGUCUGAAUGCUGUUUUCACAAGUAUUCUCUGCCUGAACACAGGUCCAGUUUGAUCCAGCAGCCUCAUUCAGUGUGCCCUGUUCCAGUGUCACAGGAACCUGUAGAUAAUUCUCUUCUGUUUCUUUUGGAGUAUUUCCUCCUCCAUGUUCACAGCAAAACCUCUUUGCCUCUUUAUCAGUGGUAGUCCUCUACCCUUUUCCAUUCACUUGCUCUACCAAAAGCAAUUUCCUUUCCCAAUCAUCAGAUAAUAUUUAUGCAUUAAAAUCUGUGAAUAAUAAUAGAAAUACCCCAUUUCAAAAGCAGAGAAGCCAAAUAGACAAAAUUAAGCUGUUUUGCUGGAUAGGAACUUCUUUCUGAACUGCCUUUUCCUUCAAAUACCAUUUCAGCCCUAGUUUAGCUUUUCUCACUGAGCAAGAUUUUGUCUAUCAACUGAUAAUGUGAAAGUUUGAAACUUUUCAUAUCCAGCCUAGAUAGUACCUUAUAAGCAGUCCUUUGGCUUACAGGAAGAAAGCAUCAAUAGAAAUACAAUUUAUCUUGUGCUCAUCACCCGGAGGGGUUCUCAAGCACUCUGGAGCAGAUCUGCAGCUCACACGUGGGCAGAGCACCAGCACACAGCCCAAGGUGUGUGUCUGCAGGAAGAGGGGUUGGUCAGGCACAGACAGACACUCGUGCAGCUCUGCACACAUGCCUCUUCUCCAGUUUAAAUCUAAGUCUGACAUUCUGGCAGAACAUUUUAAUCAGGGCAAAAGUCAAGGAAAUGUGUUAUUGCCUCCCCCUUUCCCAUACCUGGACUGUUGUGUCUGAAAGAUCUUAUUUGCUGGGCUCUCCUAAUCCGUGGGCCCCUCUUGCCCCUCUCUGCUCAAGCCCACUGAGCUCAGGAGCCCAGCUGACACUUAUCACCCCAUUUCCUUAUCAGGCUCGAGGUAGCAUGGGCAUUUCUUCUCAUCACUUACACAGAUUUAAGAGGCAAACUAGAUCACAGUCCACUUUCAUGUUUCCUUCCUAAUGCAAGUUAUUCCAUUAACACUCUCGUGUCCACUUCAGAAGAUUUCACAGGCCAAAAUACUCUCACACAUCAAAGUAAAACUCUCCAGGCUGCUCAUAAAUAACUCCACAAGCAUAGACAACCAUAUUAUGCAACUAUGAAAACAAUUUUUCUGUACAAAUUCUUCAGAAGAUUAACAUCCUUUCAUAUUUGUUUCAUCUUAUGUAUCUCACAGAAGAGGAUCUAGGAGCACGGACAUGUUAUGAUGCAGAAAAUGCAGAAAAAGUUUCUCUUGGCUGAUGAGGUUACCAAGGCACUGUUAGGUAUGAGGAGGAAUCAUUGAUUCAGAGGAAUCAAUUUUUCUGGAAAAGGUUAUAUAUGUAUUGAGAAAUAAAAUAAAAGAGAGGGGGAAAUCACAACACAGGCAAAAAUAGCUUUCUAUAAGCUGCCCUUGGUUGCCAUGGUUCCUUACUUGCCUUGUCAAUAAAAAUUAUGAAUAAUAAUACCUAUAUGAAAGUCAGACAUAAUCACACUUCUAUUGCUGCCCUCACAAACAUACACAAAUUGUUACUCCUACACUGUAUUGAUUCUUUCCUCACUCUGGAACCACUUCAAGCAGGUCUUGAAGUUGCCAAACACUUUGGCACCUCAGAGUACAAAGCCAUGGGAUCCUUUUCCCCCCUACUCAGUGAUGUUCUUCCUGUGGCCUCUGAAGGUCCCCACUCAGGGCUGUGUGCCCAGUGCUCCCACAGGGGCUCUCCAGACAUUCUCUGCAGGGAUGCAGCACGGGCAUAGAAAGAACAAGGGAAAACAAGGUUGAAAAAUAUCCUCCCCAGGACAAAAUUUUCUGUGGCAGAAGCGAUGGACACAGAAAAUUUUUCUGGGGUAAGCACCUGAGGCUGUCACACCUGGUCAGACACAGACCUCUCCCUGCAUUGCAGUGAAUCCACACCCCGGCAUUCUCAAGAACAGGUUCUCAGCUGCUAGAUUUCAGCUCCUUCAGAAUUUAACAGACACAAAAAAAGCCCUUUCUUGGUUGUGGGAAAUUGUGCUUACCACGAAUCUAGGGUCCAACUCCUUUCCUUUACACAUCCCUACACACCCACCCCCUUCAAUUUCCCUCACCUUUCUGCUCCCAGGUUUAGCAGGUGUGACCUCAGAGGCUGUCAUGCUCAGCAGUAUCUUGCCUUUGGUAUAGACUCACAUUUUCCUCUGAGUUCUGGGCUAUAAAAUCAUCCAGAAGUCACUGCAUUGAAAGUAAGAGGUACUAACUUGAACCUUUGAGAAGGCAGGUACAUCCCUGCCAAAGAUACUGCUUUUUGAAUGUCAAAUUACCCUUUUUUUAAUGGAAAUUUAUUAAUAAAAUUAGUAAGCACUCAUAGGCUGUUUUUGCCUUCUGAAAAUAUUUAAUUUGGAAUUGUAUUUUAAUUGUCAAAUAAUAAAAUAUUUAGUUAAGUAUUCCCCCAGAAUACCAAAGAAUUCCAGACUGUUCUGCAAAGAUCUCAAAAAGCUCUGUAAGACAGGAUACUAAGGGAAUACAUGGAGACUUGACUA
Taeniopygia guttata (zebra finch) is the source of this 2885-nucleotide non-coding RNA. The record is from RefSeq and is a predicted model, not a curated record. NCBI's taxonomy places the organism in Eukaryota, Metazoa, Chordata, Aves, Passeriformes, Estrildidae.